CUCGCGCCUGGAGGCUAUGGCCUUGCGGGAGGAUUCCUGCUGCCUCGCCGGCUCCGGGACGUCGACAGCCGCAACUGCUGUUGAAGCCGGAGGAUAGAGGUGGGAUGUGCUGCUGAUGGUCGCCACCGUCCGCGGGUUGCAGUGGUAUGAUGGCGCAGGCAGCUGAAGGAGCUAGGCGGGAUGUACUGUUGAUGGUCUCCGCCGUCUGCUGAUG
Molecule: long non-coding RNA, 214 nt
Organism: Lolium rigidum
Lineage: Eukaryota; Viridiplantae; Streptophyta; Magnoliopsida; Poales; Poaceae
Exons: 3
Source: RefSeq, a predicted model, not a curated record